ACUCAGCUGCCCACGCGUCCAACAUUGAUGGACAUUCCGCUUCGACUUCAUCAUCUCGAAUUUUCCUUCAAAUUCCAUUUUUCUCUGUCACAAAUCUCUGCUUUUGUCGCUCUCCGAUUCACCUUUUUGUCGCUCUCUUUCGCUUUCAAAUCUCAGCUUCUCUACGCGAUUCAACUGCUCUCUUCACCACAACACUGACAAGAAAUUGUUUAAAUCAGAGAGCUCCCCUAUUGCCGUCGCAACAGGUCGAGUACGACGCAUAUUUCUACAAGGUCUUCAAGGUGUACAGGCAACUAUGGAAAUUUCAGCAAGAAAAUCGCCAGAAACUCCACCCAUGUUCUCUCACUCAUCUCUUUACUCUGUUUUUCUCACUUUUGAGGUACCUACAACUACUUCUGAAGUCAAAGCUGAUGAUUUAUUUAUUUAUUUCAAUUUUUCCUCAAAUUUUCAGUUUUUCUUUCACGGAUUUUGAUUUUUUGAAAUGGGUUUUUAUUGAUUCUCUUGAUUGUAGUAGGUUAUGAAGGGUAUUCUUAGCUCUUGGAGUUUUUCUUUCAAAAUAGGGCCCAAAUUCUUUAAUUCAAGAACUUGGUUCGGUUAAGAAUAUAAAUUUAGCUAUCAAAGAGGAAAGAUAUAAAGAUGCAGGUAUUUUAUCAGGACUUUAUCACUGCUUUCCUAACAUAUAUAAUUACUAAGUCGUGCUACAUUUUCUCUUCUAUUUUUUUCAUCAAUUUGCUAUGCCAGAGCCCUCCUACUAUGUUUCUCCACCAUUGCCCCAAUUUUGUCGAAAACAACAGCAGCAACCUACGGCUCUCUUAGCUCAGGAGUGAGGCGACCGAUGGUCAAUGAGCUCCCAUCGUUUCCUGGUUGCCUUCGUUGUGGUUGGAAAAGCUAUAGACUGCAAUUAAGGUCGUGAUUCUGGAUGCUGACAUGAUUAUAUGUGGCCCGAUUGUUCCUUGGAAACUUAGUGCUGAGAAAGCAAGCCUAUUGCAGCGUAUAUGGGUAUAUUACUUUUACUAUUUUUUUCUUUCAUCAGACAAGCAUUGUUUUGCUAUAUUUUGAUUUUCCAAUUUGUAUAGGAUUUUCUUCUGAGAGAUUUAAAUUGAUUUUGGUUCUUUGAAAGCACCUGCCAGAUGGUUUCUAAAGAAGCACCUGCCAAAAGCUUCAAGAAGCAUUUCUAUGUUUUUUCAAGGAAGUAUGUGGACUUUAAUAGAAACUUCAAACAUGUUUCAAAUAAAAACAUUUCUAGCAAAAGGGGUUUCAAGAGCAGAAGUGCUUUGUAUAGAAAGGGUUUCAAAUGACUAAUGUGCCCUUUGUUUCAUUACAAUUGAAGAUUUGGUUUUUGGAUUUCAGGUCAAGCUCUCUAAGUACAUUGGGGAUAAGCAUGUGAUUCUCUUUUUUUACGCAUUGGACUUCACAUUCGUUUGUCAUAGAUCACCUCUCUCAACGACCGCCACACUGAGUUUGCGGAGCUCAACACAAAAAUCUUGGGUGUUUCAGUUGAAAGUGUGGCUUGUUGCCUUGCUCCUCAAUAUAUUCUAUAACACAAAAAUGUGUUGGAAUUUUGCGUCAAUAGUUUUUGUUUUGAAAUCCCAAAUUGAAUGAAGUAUGUGUUACAUAUUGAUGUAGUAGUUGCAAAGAAAUGGUAUGUUGAUGUAGAUAAUUAGGAGUUCAAUCUAUUUGUACUUUAACACAAAUAGAGAUAAUUGUAUAGGGUUUUCUCAUGUUUAAAUUUUUUUGUUUAUACAUUUGAUUCAAGUGUUAUUUCAUACUUUGAUCACUUUUCAUUUA
Non-coding RNA from Malus domestica (apple), 1788 nucleotides. NCBI's taxonomy places the organism in Eukaryota, Viridiplantae, Streptophyta, Magnoliopsida, Rosales, Rosaceae. The record is from RefSeq and is a predicted model, not a curated record.